AGUCGAACGAUGAAGCCCAGCUUGCUGGGUGGAUUAGUGGCGAACGGGUGAGAAACACGUGAGUAACCUGCCCUUAACUCUGGGAUAAGCCUGGGAAACUAGGUCUAAUACCGGAUAGGAGUGCCUACCGCAUGGUGGGUGUUGGAAAGAUUUAUCGGUUUUGGAUGGACUCGCGGCCUAUCAGCUUGUUGGUGAGGUAAUGGCUCACCAAGGCGACGACGGGUAGCCGGCCUGAGAGGGUGACCGGCCACACUGGGACUGAGACACGGCCCAGACUCCUACGGGAGGCAGCAGUGGGGAAUAUUGCACAAUGGGCGAAAGCCUGAUGCAGCGACGCCGCGUGAGGGAUGACGGCCUUCGGGUUGUAAACCUCUUUCAGUAGGGAAGAAGCGAAAGUGACGGUACCUGCAGAAGAAGCACCGGCUAACUACGUGCCAGCAGCCGCGGUAAUACGUAGGGUGCGAGCGUUAUCCGGAAUUAUUGGGCGUAAAGAGCUCGUAGGCGGUUUGUCGCGUCUGUCGUGAAAGUCCGGGGCUUAACCCCGGAUCUGCGGUGGGUACGGGCAGACUAGAGUGCAGUAGGGGAGACUGGAAUUCCUGGUGUAGCGGUGGAAUGCGCAGAUAUCAGGAGGAACACCGAUGGCGAAGGCAGGUCUCUGGGCUGUAACUGACGCUGAGGAGCGAAAGCAUGGGGAGCGAACAGGAUUAGAUACCCUGGUAGUCCAUGCCGUAAACGUUGGGCACUAGGUGUGGGGACCAUUCCACGGUUUCCGCGCCGCAGCUAACGCAUUAAGUGCCCCGCCUGGGGAGUACGGCCGCGAGGCUAAACUCAAGGAAUUGACGGGGGCCCGCACAAGCGGCGGAACAUGCGGAUUAAUUCGAUGCAACGCGAAAACCUUACCAAGGCUUGACAUGUUCUCAUCGCCGUAUAGAUACGGUUGCCCCUUUGGGGCGGGUUCACAGGUGGUGCAUGGGUUGUCGUCAGCUCGUGUCCUGACAUGUUGGGUUAAGUCCCGCAACGAGCGCACCCUCGCUUCCAUGUUGCCAGCCACGUAAUGGGUGGGGGACUUCAUGGGAGACUGCCUGCGAUCAACUCCGACGCAAGGGGGAGGACG
RNAcentral lists this ribosomal RNA (1114 nucleotides) under Micrococcus sp. 1SB5. Its description in RNAcentral is "bacterial SSU rRNA". It matches the Rfam family "Bacterial small subunit ribosomal RNA", at positions 60 to 1184 of the family's 1533-position model. Lineage: Bacteria; Bacillati; Actinomycetota; Actinomycetes; Micrococcales; Micrococcaceae. The record is from RNAcentral.